This 1367-nucleotide ribosomal RNA is filed under the name metagenome. Its description in RNAcentral is "bacterial SSU rRNA". It matches the Rfam family "Archaeal small subunit ribosomal RNA". The record is from RNAcentral.
UCCAGUUGAUCCUGCUGGCGGCUGCGGCUCUCUGGUUUGCGCUUAGACAUGCAAGUUGUUUUCUUUAGUUCUUCGGAAUAGGAGGAAAAGCGGACUGCUCAGUAACACGUCGAAAACCUACCCUUAGGUCAGGGAUACUCUCGGGAAACUGAGGUUAAUACCUGAUAAGAGAUUUACCCUGGAAAGAUUAAUCUCUAAAACUCGUGCCCAAGGAUGGGUCGGCGGCGGAUUAGCUAGUUGGCGGGGUAAUGGCCCACCAAGGCGAUGAUCCGUAAGGGCUCUUAGCGGAGAGGCCCUGAGAGGGAGUCUGAGACACUACUCCCAGCCCUACGGGGUGCAGCAGUUAGGAAUCAUCUGCAAUGCGCGCAAGCGUGACAGUUUGAGCCAGAGUGCUUUUCAAUGAAAAGCUUUUGCCAAAUGCAAAAAGUUUGGCGAAUAAGGACUGGGUAAGACGGGUGCCAGCCGCCGCGGUAGUACCCGCGGUCCAAGUCGCAGCCAUCUUUAUUGGGUCUAAAAUAUCCGUAGCUUGCCAAGUAAGUUCCUUGUGAAAUCCUGUGUCUUGAGCACAGGGCGUGCGGGGAGUACUGCCUGGCUAGAGACUGGAAGACGUAGAAAGUACGAUCAAAGUAGUGGUAAAAUACUUUAAUCUUGGUCGGACUCACAAUAGCGAAGGCAUUCUACGGGGACAGUUCUGACAGUGAGGGAUGAAGGCCAGGGGCGCAAAACGGAUUAGAUACCCGUGUAGUCCUGGCAGUAAACACUGCACACUAAACAUUAGUACCUCCUCGAGAGGUAUUGGUGCUGAAGCGAAGGCGAAGAGUGUGCUACCUGGGAAGUAUAGUCGCAAGACCGAAACUUAAAGGAAUAGGCGGGGGGAUACUACAACCGGUGACGCGUGCGGUUCAAUCAGAUUCUACACCGUGAACCUCACCAGGGGCGACAGCAGAAUGAAGGUCAGUCUGAAGGGCUUACCUGACACGCUGAGAGGAAUUACAUAGCCGACGUCAGCCUGUGCCGUGAGGUGACCUGUUAAAUCAGGUAACAGGCAAGACCACAUCUCUAUUUACUUUGUGUACAAUAGAGAGAUUGCCCGGGUAACUGGGAUGAAAGUGUGGGCUACGUUAGGUGGCACAGUCCGAAUCCCCUGGGCAACACGCGCGCGUCAAUGGCAGAUACAAUGAGAUGCAACUCCGAAAGGAGAAGCUAAUCUCCUAAAGUCUGUCUCAGUCCAGAUUGAGGUUUGCAACUCAGCCUCAUGACGCUGGAAUCGGUAGUAAUCGUUUGUUAUCAGCGAACGGUGAAUGCGUCAAUGUCCCUUGCACUCACUGCCCGUCAAACCAACCAAGUUUAGUUAUGGUGAAACCCUU